This 558-nucleotide ribosomal RNA is filed under the name Methanobacteriota archaeon. Its description in RNAcentral is "bacterial SSU rRNA". It matches the Rfam family "Archaeal small subunit ribosomal RNA", at positions 1 to 563 of the family's 1478-position model. The record is from RNAcentral. Lineage: Archaea; Methanobacteriati; Methanobacteriota.
AAAUCCGGUUGAUCCUGCCGGAGGCGACCGCUAUUGGAAUUCGAUUAAGCCAUGCGAGUCGAGAGUCUUAGGGACUCGGCGUACCGCUCAGUAACACGUGGGUAACCUGCCCUGUGCUGGGGAAUAACCUCGGGAAACUGAGAAUAAUGCCCCAUAGUUCACUACGCCUGGAACGGUGGGUGGAUCAAAGCUCCGGCGGCACAGGAUGGGCCUGCGGCGUAUCAGGUUGUAGGGGGUGUAAUGGACCUCCUAGCCAUCGACGCGUACGGGUGUUGGGAGACAUAGCCCGGAGAUGGAUUCUGAGACACGAAUCCAGGCCCUACGGGGCGCAGCAGUUACGAAAACUUGGCAAUGCGGGAAACCGUGACCAGGGAACUCCAAGUGAGUCUCUUUUAGGGGCUCUUUUCUUGACUCUAAAACGGUCUUGGAAUAAGGGGUGGGUAAGGACGGUGCCAGCCGCCGCGGUAAUACCGGCGCCUCAAGUGGUAGUCGCUUUUAUUGGGCCUAAAACGUCCGUAGCCGGUUUGGUACAUUCGUGGGUAAAUCAACUCGCUUAAC